UCGUCGUCGACCGGAAAGGUCGGCUCACUGUUAACACGGCCGAAUUCUGAUUCACUCGUCUCCCAUCCAAAGAUGCCUCUCCUCACACUCGAUUCUUCCUCACCACAGUUCCAUCCUCAAUAUACAAUAUACCCGUUCACGCGCGUGAAUUUCGAAUUCACGAGGAAUCUCGAAACUGUGAACACUCGAGCUUCACUUCCGCGAUUGAUUCGUCAAAGAACAAAAAAGAAAUCUUCCAAUCCGGUUCACAAAAUCAAGUCUUGACUCCGAUUCAUUACAAUCUCACUCCCGAGCAACAAUCUCGGAAGAGAGAUCUCACCUGAACGACCCGAACGUACAACAAUUCAAAAGAGCACAACGGCCAACGGAUUAACCAACAACGACACACCGAAAGAGAACGACGAAAUUCAUAUCGCGAAACGAAGAAAAAUCAUAUAUAUGUAUAUAUAUGUAUAUAUAUAUAUAUAGUAUAUAUAUAUAGUACAUAUACCUUUUACAGCUUUGAAUUACUAUUAAAUAAAUCUGUGAAAUUGUUCCUCGAUCGCGAUUCGAAACGAUUGAUAUAACGUGUAUACACGAUGGUGUGUAACGUAGAAAUGUACGGGUUAUGCGUGUACGAAACGCGUUUGGCGAGCAGACAGGCUGGUGUUGUAGCUCGUCAGGCGGCGCGGUUCGAAUGGAGACGCAGCACACGUGCCGCUGCCCUGGCCUGGUGCUCGUCGACGAUCGGCCGCCGCCACCACCACCAGCUGAUCAUCCGGGAGUGACUAGUGCCACUGACUCUGCCUGUGGCCUGUGCUCACUGACUAACUGCACGACUGAACAGUUCCUCCGGUAGAGGCUGCCAGAGCAGGACGCGACGACGGCGUUCGAAUUGCGCCUGCUGGCCCUGCUGCGCUUAGAAAUAAUCGAAAGUGAUGGAAGAAACUCAGGGCAACGAAAGCGUAUACGUGGCAAUGAUUAAUUUUCAUAGCGUGAUAUGUAGUUGGGAAUUCACAUGCCUAGCGUGUGGAGCUAACGACGUUUGGCAAAUAAUAAAUUGACGAUACAUCACGCUGCUGAUGACGUAUUUCCGAUUGCAAUAGCAACGAAUGGACCAAAGAACUAUCGACGAACGAUUCGGUGCCAUUUCCAUUGUAACUGAUCAACCGAUAAAAUAUUUAUUAUAAUUCAUUUAUGAACGAUGUACAUGCGUAUUAAUGAAUCUUUAUUAAGAUAUGAUUUUAUCGUUUAUUGACGAAAAUUGAGAAAGUUCAAGAUCGAGGCUAGGAAAAUUUGAGGAUAAUUUCAAUUUUUUUUAGAAAAUUAACGACUUUGAAGGAAAGAAAAAUUAAUGAAAUGGAAGAUAUUUUUCUAAAAAUAUAAAAAUUUGUUCAACGUAUAGUUAGAAAAAAUUUUUUAAAUUAUAGAGGUAUAUUUGCAGUACAUAACGAAAUAAACGAAAAAGUUAUCUCGAAAGAAAUAUUCUACGGUAUUCGUUGUGGAAGAAGAAACUCGAUCGAAACGGAGCAUUCACUAAGUUAGUCGAACUGAUAAAAAAUAAAUUAUACCGAUGCAAAUGUUUGCAAAGUGAAACAGAAGUAGGUAAGUAUACAUAAUAUAGGGCGAUACGUUUGCCAGGAGGCAUUCGAGUGCACCUGUACUCGCAGCUUCCGAAAUCGAUUUCCUACGAAACAAUGCCUCCUUCGACGAAGAAAUUUUGCCCCACUCUUGUGACGAAUCGUAACUGCAUUUCUACGUAAAGUAAAUAAAGAUUAUUGUUGAAUAACGAUGUAAUGAAAACAAGAAAGUGAAUGUAAACUGUUAUUCGAUCGAUAAGAACAUUAUUGAAUAACAUUCCUACGUAUGAUUUAACAAUUAAGAGCAGAUAUAAAAAGAUUGCGUGGGUAUAGGGAAACUAAAAUUUUGGAAAGAAUUUUUUAUCAAUUACUGAAAUUUUAUUUUAUUAAUUUAUAGA
Apis laboriosa (Himalayan honeybee) is the source of this 1957-nucleotide long non-coding RNA. RefSeq lists it as uncharacterized. The record is from RefSeq and is a predicted model, not a curated record. The transcript is spliced from 3 exons. NCBI's taxonomy places the organism in Eukaryota, Metazoa, Arthropoda, Insecta, Hymenoptera, Apidae.